This 2426-nucleotide long non-coding RNA is filed under the name Gossypium barbadense (sea-island cotton). Its description in RNAcentral is "long non-coding RNA (GBAR_LNC017827)". The record is from RNAcentral. Lineage: Eukaryota; Viridiplantae; Streptophyta; Magnoliopsida; Malvales; Malvaceae.
ACUUAACCAUUUUAAAAGCCAAACAUUAUCACAUACUCACACAUCUUCCUUUAGCAAUAUCAUAGAUACAAACAUUUAAAAUGACUAAUCCCUAUACAUCACUUAGGUAUAAACAUUACUUAGGUACAUGCCACGUUAUCAAAAGAAAGGUACAUCACUAAAGUUUCUCUGAAGUCGGGAUUACUUUGGAUGCUGGAGCGACACUGGUUUUCUACUAACCUGCACAUGGAAACAACCGUACGCUGAGCAUGGGAAUACUCAGUGGUAUUACCAUAAUUCAAAUUAAUUACAUUAAUCGAUAAAUUAUAUACAUUUAAUUUAUGUCUAUAAUUAUUCGUUAAUUGUCUCGUACUUUAAAACAACUUGAUAAUUAAUAACAAUAAGCAAUAUUUCAAUCUUGUAUUUAAUUGUAUUCAUACCUUAUUUCACUAUCUCAAUUUUAUUGGAUUUUUCAACAUUUCAUUCUAGUAACUCAUUUCAAUUCAUACAAAUUCAAUCAAUUUAUCAACUCAUUCAUUAUCAUUUCUAUUUAUAUUCAAUUUAUACUUUUAAUCAUUUAAUAAACAUUUAAUACAUUAAAUCAACUUGUUUCAACAACAAUAACAAUAAUAACUAUCUUUCAAUUCGAUUCAUUCAGUUAUAAUCAAUUUUACACUUAUAAUCUUUUAACACUCAAUUUAUACAUUAAAUCCAUAAAUAAAUUUCAAUAACUUGUAUUCAAUUAAAUUCAAGUAUUAUUUCACUAUUUCUAAUUAUUUCAUUUUCACUUCUCAUUUUUUUACAUCAUUUCAUAUUGUCAAAAAUCUAUUUCAUAAAAUUUAACCUUAUCUGUUUCUUGAACCAUAAUUCCUACCUUUCGCAUAUGUCAUAUCAUUCAGAUUUAGUUUUAUCAGUAACUUUAUUUCAUUUGCCCCUAUUAACUUGACUCGGACUCGGCGGAUACACGGAUUCCAACCAAACACACCAGUAAACAGUAAUCAGUAACGGUAGCAGUAACAAUAACAGUAACAGUAUUCAACACACAAAGUGUUGAAUCUGUAACAGUAACAGUAAUAGUAUUCGACACACAAAGUGCCGAGUCGGUAACAGUAACAGUAACAGUAUUCGACACACAAAGUGCCGAAUCAGUAACAGUAACAGUAGUCGGCACAUAAGUGCCUUACCAGUAAGCCGACAAAUACCCUGUACUCUUCCAUAUCCUAUGGCGUGCCAACUAUAUCCGACUAGCCCGACUAGUUAAUAGGGUAUUUAAAUUCACUUUUCAGUAUAAUUUCCAUCUUAGUUCAGUAUCAAUUAUAAAUUCCUUAUUUCAAUCAGUUUCACAAUAUUACAGUAAUUUAUUACUUCAGUAAUUUCAUAAUUCAAUGCAUUAUACAUAACAAUAUUCAGUAUUUUCACAACUCACUCAAUACUCAAAACAAUAUCAAGUAUUUCAUAAUUCAGUUCAGUAUCAGUCUCACAUAUCAAUUUCCACUUUCUCAAUCCAGUUCCAAUAAAAUCCAUAUCAAUCACCAAUUUCAAUAUUCCAGUUCAAUUCAAUGAUUCAAUUCAAACCAUUUCAAUUUCUAUUCAAUAAUCACAUUUCAAUUUCACUUUCUCAAUUCAAUAUUCAUCUCAUUUACUCACGUACAAUCACAAUUCAAUCUAAUUUCAUUCAGUUCAAUAUCAAUACUUAAUUUCAAUAAUUAUAUUUACUAGAAAUCUACUCCAUACAAAGCAAUAUUAUCAUACCAAAUUUCUUACCUUAUUUAUUUACCAUACAUUCUAAUUAAAACACAAUAAUUAAUAAUAAUUAGAUUUGAAUUAUGGUAAUACUAACCGAAAUUUCUCUCGAGUCACUCCUUGUUCACCUUCUCCUUUCCUUUCUCGGACAAUAACUCUUGCACGACAUUAGCUACGUAAUUAAACAAUUAAAAAUCAUUAAUACACAAUUUCAUUAAAAUAGUUCCUUUUGUACCUAAACUUUACCCAAAUUCUAAUUUAAUCCCUUAUCAAUAUUAAUUUUAUUUUCUCAUUCUAACUCCAUAUUCUCUCUUAAUUCUUACUACAAACUCAAUUUAGCUCUUCAAUUUCACCAUAAAUCCCUAAUUUCGGGAUUCUUUCAAUUUAGUCCCUCCUUUUCAAAACUUACACUUUAUUUUACAAUUAAAUCCUUUACUAACUUCUAACUUGAAAUUAAAUCAAUUUAACCCCUAACACUUCAAUUUAUUCAACAUGAAUAACAUCUAAUAAUCAACUAACUUUCAAAAUAUCAACAUAAAUCAAGUAGUAUUUAUCUCUAGGAUUCCUAAAACAUCAAAACUAAGAGAAAAUGGACUAAAUUGACUUACCAAAUGAGCUUAGAACCUCAAAACCUCAAUUUUCUCUUUUCUUUCUUUCCUUCUUUCCUUCUCUGUUUCGUCCAUGCUAUUCUGUUUCUAUUCUCU